Molecule: ribosomal RNA, 263 nt
Filed under: uncultured archaeon
Lineage: Archaea
Description: partial 16S ribosomal RNA
Rfam family: Archaeal small subunit ribosomal RNA
Source: RNAcentral
AGGGUGUAAACGCUGCAGACUUGGUGUUGGAAGUCCUUUGGGGGCAUUCAGUGCCGGAGAGAAGUUGUUAAGUCUGCUACUUGGGGAGUACGUCCGCAAGGAUGAAACUUAAAGGAAUUGGGCGGGGGGAGCACCGCAACGGGAGGAGCGUGCGGUUUAAUUGGAUUCAACGCCGAAAAACUCACCAGCAGCGACUGUUACAUGAAAGUCAGGUUGAUGACCUUACUAGAUUUUCAGAGAGGUGGUGCAUGGCGUCAGUGACU